GGAAUCACGUGACAUCAGAGACGCUAACCCCAGGAAGGUGGGCGCGGCAAGGCCUUGCUGGGCCUAGGCUUCCUGGCUGGCUCUGAUUGGAUGAGAUUUGUCCGGGAGAGACGGGCUCUGCGAGCCCUCAAAGGCGCGUGCGUAUAUUUUGGACCGCGAUGACUAAGAUGUCAGUGGUGGCCAAAGGGGGCGCCGGGAAGCUGAAGAAAAAAAGAAGCAGAAUGUUGGAUUAAAGGAGGCAGGAUGGGCCAAAUACUCCUACACGGUCCACGCAAAGAGGGGUUGGACGAGCUCGGUUUCAACAAAAUGUGCUAGCUAACGUGGGCAGGAAGAAUGAGCUCCAAUAAUCUUCCUUUAUAGUUUGGACCUGGCAGCUUUCCCCCAAGUAUAAAGCCCUGUCGUAUAG
Non-coding RNA from Chlorocebus sabaeus (green monkey), 406 nucleotides. Lineage: Eukaryota; Metazoa; Chordata; Mammalia; Primates; Cercopithecidae. The record is from RefSeq and is a predicted model, not a curated record.